This 253-nucleotide unclassified non-coding RNA is filed under the name uncultured Planctomycetota bacterium. RNAcentral's name for it is "uncultured planctomycete contains 16S-23S intergenic spacer region". It matches the Rfam family "Bacterial small subunit ribosomal RNA", at positions 524 to 776 of the family's 1533-position model. The record is from RNAcentral. Lineage: Bacteria; Pseudomonadati; Planctomycetota.
GACGAAGGUGGCGAGCGUUAUUCGGAUUUACUGGGCAUAAAGCGCGCGUAGGCGGCUCGGUCAGUCGGAGGUGAAAGCCCACAGCUCAACUGUGGAACUGCCCCCGAUACUGCCGAGCUUGAGUGCAGGAGGGGUGACCGGAACUCCAGGUGGAGCGGUGAAAUGCGUAGAUAUCUGGAGGAACACCAGAGGCGAAGGCGGGUCACUGGACUGCAACUGACGCUGAGGUGCGAAAGCUAGGGGAGCGAACAGG